UAGGCCUUUUGCUGAUAGAUCAUCUGCAGGAUGGUGAUUUCGGGCAGGUCCGCGAAGCGGUCGCGCAGUGCGCGCUCGUGAUCGGUCAGCUUGUCUUCCGGAACCUUCAGCAGCGCCUUGUAGAAGUCGGUCUUCAGGUUGUUCAUACGCUUGUAGACGUCGGUGUUGUAGCGCGUACGUGACGAAUACAUGAUGUCCUUAUGCCGGGCCAUC
Molecule: unclassified non-coding RNA, 213 nt
Filed under: Hevea brasiliensis (rubber tree)
Lineage: Eukaryota; Viridiplantae; Streptophyta; Magnoliopsida; Malpighiales; Euphorbiaceae
Source: RNAcentral